ACCCUGUGAUGGGGGUCACAAGAGCCAGAGGGGGAAGAGGGGCUGGCUCUCAACCACCACGAAAUGGGAGGCCUUUAUGUUCAGGUUUUGCCCAAGAGUCAGCUUUUUUGCUUCUUGUACUAGCUGGGCAGUUGCUGCCAAGGCCCUCAAACAGGGUGGCCAUCCUUUAGAAACAGUAAUAUUAUUAGUAACAGCAGCAGCAUGUAUUCACUGGGCACUUCUCAGUACCUGGCCUCAUGGCUCCCACUUUGUAGGGGCCACUGGGAUCAAGAGAGGGCAACAUUGCAACUCUCCAUGCUCCUGCAAUAUCCAUAGCUAUUCUGUAGACAGAAGGACAACAGGUACAAAGUCCUAAGGAUUAUAAAGGUAUGCUGCUUGCCAUCAUCUUAGUGACCAAGGCAGCGAAGCUGUUUCUGUACCUUGGAACAGUCUUCCCUGACAAGCCAGAGAACAGCGAUAAAGCCACCAGCCUUGGGAUCAGGACUGAAAAGGCAAGAGUGAUGGAGAUUUCUCCUGCGCUAAGCCAAGAGAAGGUUUCAGCACCUCAGACAGCUCCCACCGAAGUAGCGGCGCUCCCAGCUGCUUGCAGAUGUGGAAAAGGAAAGCCUCGGUUUGUCUUGAGGUUGUCAGCAGUUGCAAGACACGUAAUAAAAUGCAAUGUGUUCCUAA
Molecule: long non-coding RNA, 669 nt
Organism: Homo sapiens (human)
Lineage: Eukaryota; Metazoa; Chordata; Mammalia; Primates; Hominidae
Source: Ensembl